GAUGAAGAACGCAGUAAAAUGCGAUAAGUAAUGUGAAUUGCAGAUCUCGUGAAUCAUCGAAUCUUUGAACGCACAUUGCGCCCUAUAGCAUUCUGUAGGGCAUGCCUGUCUGAGUAUCAUUAUACCCACUCAGAUCUUGGAUUAUUUUAUAUAGUCUUAGAUUUGGAUUUAAUCAGAGAAGUAACCAAUUUGAGUAGAUUACUCUUUGGAAAUAUAAAGGCAGUUGUAGUGAAACCUAUAUUAAACGUGAUAUUAAAAAGUUUCGUUUAAAAGGACUGAAUCUUUGACUUGCCUUUAACCCACUUAAUUCUUUGGUUGACCUCAGAUCAGGUAGGGAUACCCGCUGAACUUAAGCAUAUCAAUAAGCGGAGGA
Molecule: unclassified non-coding RNA, 373 nt
Filed under: soil metagenome
Description: partial contains 5.8S ribosomal RNA, internal transcribed spacer 2, and large subunit ribosomal RNA
Rfam family: 5.8S ribosomal RNA (bases 1-119)
Source: RNAcentral